AGGGAAUAUUGCAAAAUGGGCGAAAGCCCGAUGCAGCAACGCCGCGUGGGCGAUGAAGGCCUUCGGGUCGUAAAGCCCUUUUUGAGGGGAUGAGGAAGGACAGUACCCUCAGAAUAAGCCUCGGCUAACUACGUGCCAGCAGCCGCGGUAAAACGUAGGAGGCGAGCGUUAUCCGGAUUUACUGGGCGUAAAGCGCGUGCAGGCUGAUUGGAGAGUUGGAUGUGAAAGCUCCCGGCUUAACUGGGAGAGGUCGUUCAAUACUUCCAGUCUUGAGUGCAGUAGAGGGAAGUGGAAUUCCGGGUGUAGUGGUGAAAUGCGUAGAUAUCCGGAGGAACACCAGUGGCGAAGGCGGCUUCCUGGACUGUAACUGACGCUCAGACGCGAAAGCUAGGGUAGCAAACG
Molecule: ribosomal RNA, 402 nt
Filed under: uncultured bacterium
Lineage: Bacteria
Description: bacterial SSU rRNA
Rfam family: Bacterial small subunit ribosomal RNA
Source: RNAcentral